UUUUAUGUUAAAUUUGAAUUUACAAAUAAAAUUCAAAAUGCGAUCAUGAUUUUAAUUUAAAUUUAAAAUAAAAUUCAACUUUAAAAAUAAAUUUAAAGAUUAAAAUUAAGACCAAAUAUAAUUUUUUAUGUAAGCCUUUCAAUUUUAGUGACUUCUAAAUUCUUUGAGUCGAAGUCAAAAAAGUGAGAUUUAAUUAUAACUCACUUCAUCAGCCCACUUUUAUAAAGUGACUUUUAUAUUCACUUUCGCAAACCAAACAAUCGAUAAGACGUCACUUUUUAAAAGUGUCAUUUUCGAUACUUUCCUGUCGGUCAACCAAAUAUAUCCUUAGGCCUCGUUUCGUUGGGGGUAUAAGCAGGAACAACGAAAGUUAUCCCCGAUAUUCUGCCAAACGGGAUGAAAUUUGGCCGGGAUAUUUAAUCCUAGUCAAACCUUGCUAUUUUCGGUUAUUCCGAAAUAGCAAAAGAUUUGUUAUUCCACCAUUUUGAUGGAAUAGUGCUAUUCCAAUGCUUAAUUUCAAACUUAAUUAAAAUUAUAAAUUAAAUUAAAACUAAAGUAUAUAAAUAUACUAUGUUAUAUAUUAUAAUACAUUAUUUUUAUUAUAAAAUUAUUAAUUGUACUAUAUUAAUACAUAUUAUUUAUAUUUAAAUAUUAUAAUAAAAUUUAUAAUAAAUUAUAUUUAAAUAUUAUAAUAAAUUCUUUUUAUUAAAUUUAAGUUUAAGUAGAAUUUAAAAAAAAAUUAUAAAUUUAUUAUAAUAAAUUAUUUUUAUUAAUUGUUCCCACCCUUAUUCUUAUUUUAAAAUUUUAAAAAUUAAAAAUUUAAAUUUUAAAAUUUAUAAUUUAUAAUUUAUAAUCUCAAAAUUAAAGUUUAUAAUUUUAAAUUUCAAAUUUUAAAUUUUGACAUUUUAAAUGUUUGAAAUUUAAAAUUUGAUAUUUUAUAUUUUUCAAAUUUAAAUUUGAUCUUAAAUUUAAAGUUUGAAAUUUAAAAUUUAAAAUUUUGAAUUUAAAAUUUGAGAUUUUAAAUUUCAAAUUUUGAAAUUUCAAAGUUAAAAUUUUAAAUUUAAAAAUAUAAAAUUAAAAAUUUAAAAAUUUAAAUUCAAAUAUAAUAAGAGGAUAAUAUCAUUACUUUUUAUUUAUAAAACCCACUAUCCUUCUUAUUCCAUCUUAUCUAACCAAACACUAUUUAUUUUAUUCCCAGAAAUAACCAAAUUUUCAUCCAAACGCAAAAUUGAUCUAAUCCCCACUGAUAUGUCAAUUUAUACUUAUUACUGGAAUAGCUAUUUUUUGUUUAUCCCCAAACCAAACGAUACCUUAAUAUAAUGUGGCAGUAGUUUUGUAAUUCUUCAUCUCUAAAAAAAGAGUUAGAAUCGAGUUUUAUUGGCAGUCUGUUUCAGCUAGGGAUGUCAACGGGUCGGAUUCGGGGCGGAUUUUUAAAAACCCGAACCCGAACCCGACUCCAAACCCGAGACCCGAGAUGCGAACCCGAACCCGAACCCGACGGAUUUUAAAAAUCCAUAUCCAAACCCGAACCCGACCAAAAAUCCGAAACCCGAACCCGAAAAUUUGAACCCGAAACAAUUAUUUUUUUUUUCAAUAUUUCAAAAUAUAUUAUAUUAAAUUUAAAAUUUUAAAAUCAAUUCAAAUAUAACAUCAAUAUAUAUAUAUAUAUAUAUAUAUUAUAUAUAAUACAAAAUAAAUUCGGGUUCGGGUUCGGGUUCGGGUUCGGGUCGGGGUCGGGUUCGGGUCGGGUACAAUCAAAAUCCAUAUCCGAAUCCAUAUCCGUCGGGUUUUUAUUUUUUAUAUCUAUAUCCAAAUCCAUAUCCAUAUUCAUAUCCAUCGAAUAUAUCCGUUUCAUUCGAAUUCAGGUUCGGAUAAAAUUUCGGAUAUUCAUACCCAUUGACAUCCCUAGUUUCAGCUUGUGGGGAGUUGGGCUAUUAUAAGUA
Molecule: long non-coding RNA, 1943 nt
Filed under: Ananas comosus (pineapple)
Lineage: Eukaryota; Viridiplantae; Streptophyta; Magnoliopsida; Poales; Bromeliaceae
Description: long non-coding RNA (ACOM_LNC026945)
Source: RNAcentral